This 279-nucleotide ribosomal RNA is filed under the name uncultured bacterium. Its description in RNAcentral is "partial 16S ribosomal RNA". It matches the Rfam family "Bacterial small subunit ribosomal RNA", at positions 506 to 784 of the family's 1533-position model. The record is from RNAcentral.
UGCCAGCAGCCGCGGUAAUACGGAGAGUGCAAGCGUUGUUCGGAAUUAUUGGGCGUAAAGCGCGUGUAGGCGGUUCGUUAAGUCUGAUGUGAAAGCCCGGGGCUCAACCCCGGAAGUGCAUUGGAAACUGGCGAACUUGAGUACGGGAGAGGAAAGUGGAAUUCCCGGUGUAGCGGUGAAAUGCGUAGAUAUCGGGAGGAACAUCAGUGGCGAAGGCGACUUUCUGGACUGAUACUGACACUGAGGUACGAAAGCGUGGGUAGCAAACAGGAUUAGAUA